CCGCGGGGGACAACAGUCCGAAAGGAUUGCUAAUACCGCAUACGUCGGCGAGAUCUCCGGAUCUUGUCGGGAAAGAUGGCCUCUCCUUGGAAGCUGUCACCGGAAGAUGAACCUGCGGCCCAUCAGCUUGUUGGUGAGGUAACGGCUCACCAAGGCUAAGACGGGUAGCUGGUCUGAGAGGAUGAUCAGCCACACUGGGACUGCGACACGGCCCAG
This 216-nucleotide ribosomal RNA is filed under the name uncultured bacterium. Its description in RNAcentral is "partial 16S ribosomal RNA". It matches the Rfam family "Bacterial small subunit ribosomal RNA", at positions 134 to 334 of the family's 1533-position model. The record is from RNAcentral.